This 77-nucleotide transfer RNA is filed under the name Hyphomicrobium sp. Its description in RNAcentral is "tRNA-Pro". It matches the Rfam family "tRNA". From Rfam's summary of the family: Transfer RNA (tRNA) molecules are approximately 80 nucleotides in length. The record is from RNAcentral. Lineage: Bacteria; Pseudomonadati; Pseudomonadota; Alphaproteobacteria; Hyphomicrobiales; Hyphomicrobiaceae. RNAcentral also lists the same sequence under 5 other names.
CGGGGCGUAGCUCAGCCUGGUAGAGCACUUGCUUUGGGAGCAAGGGGUCGCGAGUUCGAAUCCCGCCGCCCCGACCA